Molecule: ribosomal RNA, 502 nt
Filed under: uncultured Glomeromycotina
Lineage: Eukaryota; Fungi; Glomeromycota
Description: partial small subunit ribosomal RNA
Rfam family: Eukaryotic small subunit ribosomal RNA
Source: RNAcentral
CCAAUAGCGUAUAUUAAAGUUGUUGCAGUUAAAAAGCUCGUAGUUGAAUUUCGGGAUUUGUCAGUUGGUCGGGCUUCACUGUCCGUACUGAUUUGAUGGAUUCUUACCUUCUGAAUAACCAGCAUGCUAUUAAGUUAGUGCGUUGGGGAAGCAGAUCUAUUACCUUGAAAAAAUUAGAGUGCUUAAAGCGGGCUAGUGCUUGAAUAGAUUAGCAUGGAAUAAUAAAAUAGGACGGCAUGGUUCUAUUUUGUUGGUUUCUAGGAUCACCGUAAUGAUUAAUAUGGAUAGUUGGGGGCAUUAGUAUUCAAUUGUCAGAGGUUAAAUUCUUGGAUUUAUUGAAGACUAACUUCUGCGAAAGCAUUUGCCAAGGAUGUUUUCAUUAAUCAAGAACGAAAGUUAGGGGAUCGAAGACGAUCAGAUACCGUCGUAGUCUUAACCAUAAACUAUGCCGACUAGGAAUCGGACGAUGUUAAUUUUAUAAUGACUCGUUCGGCACCUUACG